CCUACGGGGGGCAGCAGUGAGGAAUAUUGGUCAAUGGGCGCAAGCCUGAACCAGCCAAGUAGCGUGAAGGAUGACUGCCCUACGGGUUGUAAACCUCUUUUAUAAAGGAAUAAAGUGAGGCACGUGUGCCGUUUUGCAUGUACUUUAUGAAUAAGGAUCGGCUAACUCCGUGCCAGCAGCCGCGGUAAUACGGAGGAUCCGAGCGUUAUCCGGAUUUAUUGGGUUUAAAGGGAGCGUAGAUGGGUUGUUAAGUCAGUUGUGAAAGUUGGCGGCUCAACCGUAGAAGUGCAAUUGAUACUGGCAGGCUUGAGUACAGUUGAGGUAGGCGGAAUUCGUGGUGUAGCGGUGAAAUGCUUAGAUAUCACGAAGAACCCCGAUUGCGAAGGCAGCUUACUGGACUGUGACUGACGUUGAGGCUCGAAAGUGUGGGUAUCAAACAGGAUUAGAUACCCGAGUAGUC
Molecule: ribosomal RNA, 460 nt
Filed under: uncultured bacterium
Lineage: Bacteria
Description: partial 16S ribosomal RNA
Rfam family: Bacterial small subunit ribosomal RNA
Source: RNAcentral